This 75-nucleotide transfer RNA is filed under the name Vagococcus elongatus. RNAcentral describes it as "tRNA-Arg". It matches the Rfam family "tRNA". Rfam says of the family: Transfer RNA (tRNA) molecules are approximately 80 nucleotides in length. Their secondary structure includes four short double-helical elements and three loops (D, anti-codon, and T loops). Further hydrogen bonds mediate the characteristic L-shaped molecular structure. tRNAs have two regions of fundamental functional importance: the anti-codon, which is responsible for specific mRNA codon recognition, and the 3' end, to which the tRNAs corresponding amino acid is attached (by aminoacyl-tRNA synthetases). tRNAs cope with the degeneracy of the genetic code in two manners: having more than one tRNA (with a specific anti-codon) for a particular amino acid; and 'wobble' base-pairing, i.e. permitting non-standard base-pairing at the 3rd anti-codon position. Lineage: Bacteria; Bacillati; Bacillota; Bacilli; Lactobacillales; Enterococcaceae. The record is from RNAcentral.
GCACCCUUAGUGUAGUGGAUAUCACACAAGAUUCCGGUUCUUGAGACAGGGGUUCGAUUCCCUUAGGGUGCGUCA